This 254-nucleotide ribosomal RNA is filed under the name uncultured bacterium. Its description in RNAcentral is "partial 16S ribosomal RNA". It matches the Rfam family "Bacterial small subunit ribosomal RNA", at positions 524 to 776 of the family's 1533-position model. The record is from RNAcentral.
UACAGAGGCCUCGAGCGUUUAAUCGGAAUCACUGGGCUUAAAGGGUGCGUAGGCGGCGCUGCAAGUGCCUUGUGAAAUCCCAUCGCUUAACGAUGGAACUGCUCGGUAGACUGCAGUGCUUGAGGUUGGUAGGGGCUGCCGGAACUCUAGGUGGAGCGGUGAAAUGCGUAGAUAUCUAGAGGAACGCCCAAGGCGAAGGCAGGCAGCUGGGCCACUACUGACGCUGAGAAGCGAAAGCAUGGGGAGCGAACAGG